CCUACGGGAGGCAGCAGUGGGGAAUAUUGCACAAUGGGGGAAACCCUGAUGCAGCGACGCCGCGUGAGUGAAGAAGUAAUUCGUUACGUAAAGCUCUAUCAGCAGGGAAGAAAUACUGACCUUACGGUCAGCAGACGGUACCUGAGCAAGAAGCCCCGGCUAACUACGUGCCAGCAGCCGCGGUAAUACGUAGGGGGCAAGCGUUAUCCGGAUUUACUGGGUGUAAAGGGAGCGUAGCCGGUGCGCCAGGUCGGGAGGGAAAUGCCGAAGCUUAAGGGGGGAACUGCUUUGGAUACUGGCGAGCUAGAGUGCGGAAGGGGUAGGAGGAAUGCCUGGUGUAGCGGUGAAAUGCGUAGAUAUUA
Molecule: ribosomal RNA, 362 nt
Filed under: uncultured bacterium
Lineage: Bacteria
Description: partial 16S ribosomal RNA
Rfam family: Bacterial small subunit ribosomal RNA
Source: RNAcentral